Molecule: transfer RNA, 65 nt
Filed under: [Clostridium] scindens
Lineage: Bacteria; Bacillati; Bacillota; Clostridia; Lachnospirales; Lachnospiraceae
Also listed under: 7 other names
Rfam family: tRNA
About the family: Transfer RNA (tRNA) molecules are approximately 80 nucleotides in length. Their secondary structure includes four short double-helical elements and three loops (D, anti-codon, and T loops).
Source: RNAcentral
GCGUGUAGCUCAGUCGGUAGAGCACUUGACUUUUAAUCAAGUUGUCCGGGGUUCGAAUCCCCGCA